CCCCCUUUAUGCGCUGCCCGCCGGGCCCCAUGGGAAGGGCCCUUGGUGUGUGCAGAGUUUGACUACAGUAGUACUGUACGCGCUAAUCAUUAACCUGAAAUGGCAUUUACGAGGAUGAGAUGCAGUGUGCGCUGCUCUCCCUUCAUCCCUCCAGCAAACAGAAUGUCCUGACUCGAAACAGACCCCAGAUCUUCAGAGGCAUUGACCUGGCCACGGUCAUGGGGAGAAUCGGCAGGUCUCCUGCGUCAUCUGUAGCUCUGUCCACUGACCACUUGGACACCUGUGCCCAGGAGCUAGCGACCAGACCGUCCCUGAAGGGGCAGCAGCAACAGCAGGAAACACGGCUUCCUGUGGACAUGCUGAUGACCCGAUGUCAGAGGCCGAGCUCAGAUGCUGCGUGUGUUGCUAGACGUGCUGACACCCUGGCCAGUGGGUCAGCCCUCAGGGGGGAGUUUGUCUAGAAUCCUCCGAAGAGGAAGGAAGCGGCGUGAUCAGGGUCUGGCUCCUGCUGCUGAGGAAGACGAGACAUCCGCCCCAAGGUCCUGGCAACUCUCAGCCAGCGAAGGUCCUGAUUCAGUGACUUCGUGUGACAGUUGGGUGGGAAGAGGAGGAUGGAUGGAGAAAUUAGAGUCAGUCGCUUUCAAAAACGAUCAGAGUGUGACUGGAAAUGCUCUUCUCUGCCUCGUUCUGAAGAGACUCAUUCUGGACAUAAUCCUCAAAAUGGAAAGUGGGGAGCGCGUGUAUUCUCCAAAUGGACAGGCCAGAUCCGGCCCCAGUGGGCUGUGCAAGGGGCGUCCGAUCCCCACACCCCGGGGGGAGGCAGAGAUCCGCACACCUCCUUCACCCUGGGGUCUCGUGACACCAGGUCCUAGAAUGUGCUCCCGACGACAUUCAGUUCUCGGAAGAACGCGUGGCUUUGUGGAACUAGAACUAAGUGACCUCAGGAGAGAAUGUCCCCAGAACCACGUGGCCCCUGUGGCAGGCCUGGGCUGGAGUCGUGUCAGUCUCACUGGCAACCGACUUUAAAGCUCCUGGUGAGGGCUUUGCCUUGUCUUAAGCAGAAUGCGCCCUCGCCAGCCACACGCCCCUUCCUCAGGGAGCCUUUCCACAGCCUCCCGUCAGCCCACGUCCCCUGUGAUGCUCGCUAGCAGCUCUGAUCACAGUAGCGAGUUAAACGGUUCCUUGUACAAUUAUUUGUUUAAUAUCAGUCGCCUCUCCCAAACUGUCCGUGCCGCAGCGAAGAUUUGCUGUCUGACUGAUUCAUCAGUCCUAGCACCGUGCUGGGCUUAGGCACUCAACAAAUAUUUGUUGAAUAAAGGAGGGAGGUAGAGAAUACUACAUCAAAAAUUGAUAGGGAAAUGUUGGAACUAGAAAUGACCUUACGUGUUUAUUUCAGCCCCAGAAAGCAAGGCCAGGAGUGAUAAAGAGACUUGCUCGAGGUCACAUAAGGUUGGGUGAUGAGACAGAGUUGGAACCAGCAUCCCAGACCCUCUGCUUCAACUCACUCUCCGAGGGGAUCCCCCCAGUGUGUGGUCUUGGCUAAAACUCCACGCAAGACUACUUCUGUGCAGUGUUCGCCCCUCUGCCUCCAAGUCCAGCUGGGAUCUGUUCACUUGUCUGCAUCCCUUUGACCAUUAGUCCAGGCGAAAGCACCAUCACCUCCUGCCUGCGAUCGCAGGAGCUCCCUAAGUAGUCUCUUCACUGCUCCCCGGCCCCGUCCACUCACGUGAACUGGAGCCAUCUUCUCAAAAUGUGCAUGAGAGCACGUCGCUCCCCUGCUUGAACCCCGCCAGUGGGGUCCUGACUGUGGCCACAACGACACCUUUCCGAGGCCCACAAGCCCCGCACUACCCGACCCGACCCUCCCAUCCCCUCCCUCCACGCUCUUCCUUUCACCCGCUGGGCUCCACCCACACUGGCCUUUUUCUUCUGUUGCUCUUACAUGUCUGGUUUGGAGUUUCUUCUACCUGGGAUGCUCUCUGGCAGAUCUGUACAUCCUUCUUUUCACACAGUGUCACCUCCUGUAUAAAGCAGCCCCUCCAUGCCCCCACACCUAUGAUCUAUCACAUUAUUCCAUUUUGGUACUUUCACAGCAUAUGUCACUCUCUGAAAUUAUCCUUUUUUUUUUUUUUUUUUUUGUGAGGAAGAUUGGCCGUCAGCUAACAUCUCUGCCAGUCUUCCUUCUUUUGUAUGCAGGACACCAUGACAGCAUGGCUGCCGACAAGUGGUGCCCUAAGUGCCCAGGGUCUGAACCUGCAAACCCGGGCCGCCAAAGCAGAGUGCACUGAACUUAACCGCUACACCACUGGGCUGGCCCCUGAAAUCACCAUUUUUUACUUAUUUGUUUUCUUUUAUAUUAUCAGCCAAAUCAUACCCUAACGUAAGCCCCAUGAAAGCGGGAAAGUUGUCUUGUACUCCGCUGUAUGUCUAGCACCUAACUCAGUACCCCUAUAUAUUUAUGGAAUCUGUUGAAUGAAUUAGUGUCCACAAUUCCUUCUGUGUAAUUGGAGGUACUAUCAUGGGUGUGCUCCUAAAGAUGGUGGCAAAGAGUUAACUCGUAUAAAAUCCCAGAGUGUUUGCUUGGAAAUCGAGGACACUUGGGUAGGUCAAGCAUCCCUGAAACUGGCCAGAAGCAGAGUCACCAGGAGAGCUGAUAAAAAUAGAGCUUCCUGGGCACCAGCCAGCGCCUACUGGAUCAGAACAUCCAGGGCUGAGUCAGGAAGCUGCUGGUGCUGACCGAGAGUGGGCAGUGUGAAAAAUUACCGGGUGAGUGGACCCGGGGCCAAGUAUGUGUUCUUACCUUUGACCUUGUAUCUGCACUUCUGGGAAAUAAUCCCAACCACAGAAAAGACAUUGUGUACAAAGAUAUUUAUCUCACCUUGUUUAUAAAAGUGAAAAUUUAAAAACAGCAUAAAUGUCCAAAACCAGGGGAAGUGAUUAAGGG
This is a long non-coding RNA of Equus caballus (horse), 2944 nucleotides long. The record is from Ensembl. Lineage: Eukaryota; Metazoa; Chordata; Mammalia; Perissodactyla; Equidae.